UACGUACGAGGCGAGCGUUAUCCGGAAUUACUGGGCGUAAAGCGCGCGCAGGUGGCUUGCUAAGUCGGACGUGAAAUCUCCCGGCCUAACUGGGAGGGGUCGUCCGAGACUGGCCGGCUUGAGGCUGGCAGAGGUAGGUGGAAUUCCUGGUGUAGUGGUGAAAUGCGUAGAGAUCAGGAGGAACACCGGUGGCGAAGGCGGCCUACUGGGCCAGCACUGACGCUGAGGCGCGAAAGCGUGGGGAGCGAACAGG
Molecule: ribosomal RNA, 253 nt
Filed under: uncultured bacterium
Lineage: Bacteria
Description: partial 16S ribosomal RNA
Rfam family: Bacterial small subunit ribosomal RNA
Source: RNAcentral